UGGGGAAUAUUGGACAAUGGGCGAAAGCCUGAUCCAGCCAUGCCGCGUGUGUGAAGAAGGUCUUCGGAUUGUAAAGCACUUUAAGUUGGGAGGAAGGGCAUUAACCUAAUACGUUAGUGUUUUGACGUUACCGACAGAAUAAGCACCGGCUAACUCUGUGCCAGCAGCCGCGGUAAUACAGAGGGUGCAAGCGUUAAUCGGAAUUACUGGGCGUAAAGCGCGCGUAGGUGGUUUGUUAAAGUGUAUGUGAAAUCCCCGGGCUCAACCUGGGAACUGCAUUCAAAACUGACUGACUAGAGUAUGGUAGAGGGUGGUGGAAUUGCCUGUGUAGCGGUGAAAUGCGUAGAUAUAGGAAGGAACACCAGUGGCGAAGGCGACCACCUGGACUAAUACUGACACUGAGGUGCGAAAGCGUGGGGAGCAAACA
Molecule: ribosomal RNA, 427 nt
Filed under: uncultured bacterium
Lineage: Bacteria
Description: partial 16S ribosomal RNA
Rfam family: Bacterial small subunit ribosomal RNA
Source: RNAcentral